AGUGAACGCUGGCGGUAGGCCUAACACAUGCAAGUCGAACGGCAGCACAGUAAGAGCUUGCUCUUACGGGUGGCGAGUGGCGGACGGGUGAGGAAUACAUCGGAAUCUACUUUUUCGUGGGGGAUAACGUAGGGAAACUUACGCUAAUACCGCAUACGACCUACGGGUGAAAGCAGGGGAUCUUCGGACCUUGCGCGAUUGAAUGAGCCGAUGUCGGAUUAGCUAGUUGGCGGGGUAAAGGCCCACCAAGGCGACGAUCCGUAGCUGGUCUGAGAGGAUGAUCAGCCAAACUGGAACUGAGACACGGUCCAGACUCCUACGGGAGGCAGCAGUGGGGAAUAUUGGACAAUGGGCGCAAGCCUGAUCCAGCGAUACCGCGUGGGUGAAGAAGGCCUUCGGGUUGUAAAGCCCUUUUGUUGGGAAAGAAAAGCAGCAGGUUAAUACCCCGCUGUUCUGACGGUACCCAAAGAAUAAGCACCGGCUAACUUCGUG
Molecule: ribosomal RNA, 492 nt
Filed under: uncultured bacterium
Lineage: Bacteria
Description: partial 16S ribosomal RNA
Rfam family: Bacterial small subunit ribosomal RNA
Source: RNAcentral